Molecule: non-coding RNA, 381 nt
Organism: Chiloscyllium plagiosum (whitespotted bambooshark)
Lineage: Eukaryota; Metazoa; Chordata; Chondrichthyes; Orectolobiformes; Hemiscylliidae
Source: RefSeq, a predicted model, not a curated record
UACGAGGCGGCCCUGGUAUCCUCUCGGCUUGAAGUGCAGUUGAAUCAUACGGUAUCUUGAUUUAACGUCUCACCCGAAAGAUGGUACCGCGGGGAGUGCAGCACUCCGUCAGACAUACAGAUUCAAAACCCCGUUCUACUGAAAACUGAUGCAAUUUUCCUGAAUGGAAUUGAAGCAGUUACAGAUGUUUUAACUGUAAAGCAACAAGAAACUAUUCUGACAAUACGAAAGUGAAAAGCUGCUGAAGGAUGACAUCUGAAAAUAUUCUUCAAAAGGACUGGUAUGAAAUUCUUGGUGCAAGUCCGACACACAGUAUGCAGGAGCUCAGACAAAAUUAUCAGAAACUAGCCCUAUUGGUGAGUUUUUUUUGUGGAGCAGGAA